GAUGAACGCUAGCGGCAGGCCUAAUACAUGCAAGUCGAACGAUAGAAGAGGGCUUGCUCUCUUCGAAAGUGGCGCACGGGUGCGUAACGCGUAUGCAACCUACCUUAAUCAGGGGGAUAGCCCGAAGAAAUUCGGAUUAACACCGCAUAAAAUCACAGUACAGCAUUGUACAAUGAUCAAAUAUUUAUAGGAUUAAGAUGGGCAUGCGUGACAUUAGCUAGUUGGCGGGGUAACGGCCCACCAAGGCGACGAUGUCUAGGGGAUCUGAGAGGAUGACCCCCCACACUGGUACUGAGACACGGACCAGACUCCUACGGGAGGCAGCAGUAAGGAAUAUUGGUCAAUGGAGGCAACUCUGAACCAGCCAUGCCGCGUGCAGGAAGACAGCCCUCUGGGUCGUAAACUGCUUUUAUUCGGGAAUAAACCUACUUACGUGUAAGUAGCUGAAUGUACCGAAGGAAUAAGGAUCGGCUAACUCCGUGCCAGCCGCCGCCGUAA
Molecule: ribosomal RNA, 498 nt
Filed under: uncultured bacterium
Lineage: Bacteria
Description: partial 16S ribosomal RNA
Rfam family: Bacterial small subunit ribosomal RNA
Source: RNAcentral